AGAAGACACUGGGUUAACUUAGUGCUCUUUGAGGCCUUGUGCCAUCAGCCCUCCUGUCUCCUUAAGGUUUAUGAGAUUCUGGUGAUGGCUUUCUCACUGUGGUGGUCGGCCCAACCAGGCCCAGUUGUUCUGCUGGUAAGGAAAUAGCUGCUUGUCUCUUUGGAUCAAACUGGUCUAGGAGCUUCUUCAAUCCAGUUACUGGGACAGGCCAGCCUUAGAGGCUUCUCUGGCUCUUGGAACACACGGACGCACAGUCUGUGUGUCCUGGCUGUCAGCCGAGGAAGGGAGGCAGGCAGUGUAGAUGGUUAAGCUGUUACUUUAUACUCG
This 327-nucleotide long non-coding RNA is filed under the name Bos taurus (domestic cattle). Its description in RNAcentral is "long non-coding RNA NONBTAT017788". The record is from RNAcentral. Lineage: Eukaryota; Metazoa; Chordata; Mammalia; Artiodactyla; Bovidae.